This 301-nucleotide ribosomal RNA is filed under the name uncultured bacterium. RNAcentral describes it as "partial 16S ribosomal RNA". It matches the Rfam family "Bacterial small subunit ribosomal RNA", at positions 509 to 807 of the family's 1533-position model. The record is from RNAcentral.
CAGUAGCCGCGGUAAUACGUAGGUGGCAAGCGUUGUCCGGAAUUAUUGGGCGUAAAGGGCUCGCAGGCGGUUUCUUAAGUCUGAUGUGAGAGCCCCCGGCUCAACCGGGGAGGGUCAUUGGAAACUGGGAAACUUGAGUGCAGAAGAGGAGAGUGGAAUUCCACGUGCAGCGGUGAAAUGCGUAGAGAUGUGGAGGAACACCAGUGGCGAAGGCGACUCUCUGGUCUGUAACUGACGCUGAGGAGCGAAAGCGUGGGGAGCGAACAGGAUUAGAUACCCGCGUAGUCCCUGUCUCUUAUAC